This is a long non-coding RNA of Bombus impatiens (common eastern bumble bee), 1068 nucleotides long. RefSeq lists it as uncharacterized. The record is from RefSeq and is a predicted model, not a curated record. Lineage: Eukaryota; Metazoa; Arthropoda; Insecta; Hymenoptera; Apidae. The transcript is spliced from 2 exons.
AGGACAAUGUUGUCUUUGUUACAAAAACACGCACGUUUCAUAUUAAUUGGUGAAGUAACUUUACAUGUGAGAACGAAACACGAUGCACGGGGAGAAUUGGAGCAAUUUGGAAUGCAAAUUUCUAAGUGGUGUUUGCAUCGAGAACUUGGCGUUGGUCGUUGGAUCGCCAGGUACAUAGUUACCAUCCGGCGACUCUUUCGCAUCGAAAAACCUGUUGGAAGCUUCGAAGACGAUGGAACUGGUAUUUCAAUUUCAUAUAGGAUGAAGCAACGAAUCUGGCAAGAAAUAGCGGAUGAUACGUAACGACUGCUUAAUUUACGUGGGAUUUACGUGGAAGAUGAGAAACGCAUAGCUGUGGAUUGCGCUGCAAGAUGACGAGUUGCGGACGAAUAAAAUGGUUGGAACAAAGGUAAAGCGAGAAAGGUGAAAGAAAUAUUACCGUGGUAUCUUUUGCGUUAUUUUAAGGCAAAUGUGCUCCACUAUCGCGAUACUCGGGUGUAUACAGCUGUCUGGUACAAUUCCACGCAAAAAGCUUUAAAAAAUCUUUUUGUGGUAAUUCUUUAGGAUAAUUGUAGCCUACAAAACCAUCGCGAUAAUAUAAUCGUGUGUAUUACGUAACGAAAAGCGACUUAGCAGUUCUGCUUGCAAGAAAACGUCCUAUCGUAAUCCAGCUAUCAACCAUUUAUCAGAAACAUAUAAAUGCUUUUUUGUAAUUAGGUAUGAACGAUUAAUCGCAUAACAAGUAGGCUCGCACAAGGAGGCAUCUAACUGACCUAUCGAAGAAAAGUUCACUAUCCAGAAUGGAACAGGGAUGCUUUGUCAUUGAAAUAAUUAUAGAAAGCCCACGUUUCAAAGAAGACUUUGUAUUCAUGGCCGCUCCAUAGAAAACUCUUUUAAAUAUGUACUUAUAUUUUGUCAAGCAGUCGAGAUAACGAUGUUUAUAAUAUAAAUCAAUAAUUAGAUAAUUAACGAUAUACUUCUUAAUGAUACACUGUUUUAUGUUGAUAAACUUCCUCGUCAGGUCAACGACAAAUAUUUUCGAUUCUAACUACACACAUAUGUAUUGUA